UAAAUUUGUUCGUUUUCAAGAUACGUCAAAAUAAAAUAGUUUGCUACGAUAUUUAACAUGAUGAAUCACUAUAAAUUUGUUGGUUUUCAAGAUACACCAAAAUAAAAUAGUCUGGUACAAGAUUUAACAUAAUGAAUCACUAUAAAUUUGUUGGUUUUCAAGAUACACCAAAAUAAAAUAGUCUGGUAUGAGAUUUAACAUAAUGAAUCACUAUAAAUUUGUUGGUUUUCAAGAUACACCAAAAUAAAAUAGUCUGGUAUGAGAUUUAACAUAAUGAAUCACUAUAAAUUUGUUGGUUUUCAAGAUACACCAAAAUAAAAUAGUCUGGUACAAGAUUUAACAUAAUGAAUCACUAUAAAUUUGUUGGUUUUCAAGAUACACCAAAAUAAAAUAGUCUGGUACAAGAUUUAACAUAAUGAAUCACUAUAAAUUUGUUGGUUUUCAAGAUACACCAAAAUAAAAUAGUCUGGUACAAGAUUUAACAUAAUGAAUCACUAUAAAUUUGUUGGUUUUCAAGAUCCUCCGAAAUAAAAUAGUCUGCUACGAAUUUAACAAUGAAUCACUAUAAAUUUCUUUGUUUUCAAGGUACAUCGAUAUAAAAGUCUGCUACGAUACUUUACAUAAUGAAUUACUAAAAAAAGUCAGAAUGCGAAGGAUGCUACAAUUAGAGAAAUAUCAGAUUAUAUGAAGGACUCAGUAUGGAAAAGGGAACUUGAGAGCUAAGAAGGAUGACAGGACUAAAACUGUUCCUCUAUGGGCAGUGAUAAACCCAAAUACUGAGACUGAGCAUCAUUAUAAAAACAUUACAGCUGAGGAGACAUGACAGAGCUCUAGAGGGUCAAAUGAGCAUCAAACAGAGUACAGGUCGGAGAAAGCCAGUCAGCUCACCUCACCACUGGACACCACUCUUACAGACCUUACGACACUGAUAUCAGGUCACCCUCCCAUAGGACACCACUUUUACAGACCUUACAGCACUGGUAUCAGGUCACCUUAACACUGGACACUCUUACAGACCUUACAACACUGAUAUCAGGUCACGUUCCCAGAGGACACCACUUCUACAGACCUGACGACACAGACACCAAGUCACAUUUCCAUGCAACACCAUAUCAUUGGACACCAUUUUCAGACUACAAGCGUGUAUUAACUAGAACGUAAUCUCUCUAUACAGAAGGCGGGACAGUGUAUACAUAGCUAAUACAUAACAUUAACCUACAGAACCUAAUAUUGUACAGGGUAAAUAAAAAAUACAGUGAGCUUUUUCUCCGACACAAGUUAUCACAGUUCUCCAGCAGCUUCGUCACACCAGCCAGGUUCCUUCACUGUCGCUCCACUCGUAAGCUAACCACUAAAAAGGACAUUACAAGGGAGAAAUAUGUGGUAGUUGAAAUAGUUUGUCCCUUAUUGUUGCUCCACUCAUAACCCAACCACUAUAAAGGACAUUACAAGGGAGAAAUACGUAGCUGAAUAAGUUUGUUCCUCAUCGUUGCUCCACUCGUAACCUAACCACUAAAAAGGAUGUCAGAAGGAAGAAAUACGUACUUGAAAUAGUUUGUCCCUUAUUGUCGCUCCACUCAUAAGCUAACCACUAUAAAGGACGUCAUGGGGAAGAUAUGCCUGAAAUAGUUUGUUCUUCGUCGUCCCUCAACUUGUAACCUAACCACUAAAAAUGACGUCACAAUGAAAAUGCGGCAGACAGAAAGGAUGUCACAAGGAUGAUACGUUUGAAAUAGUUUGUCCUUCAUAGUCACUCAACUCGUAACCUAACCACUAAUAAGGACGUCACAAGAUAGAUGCAUUUAAAAUAGUUUGUCUGAGGAGUCGCAAACAAAACUCAAUGCUACAGAAAGGACGUCAUGAGAUACACCUGAAAUAGUUUGCCCUUCAUCGUCCCUCCACUCGUAACCUAACCACUAAUAAGACGUCACAAGGAAGAAAUACGUGGUUAAAAUAGUUUGUCUGAGGAGUCGUAAACAAAACUCAAUGCUACAAGUACGCCAGAGACAGAAAGGACGUCAUAGAGAAAGAUACGCCUAAAAUAGUUUGCCCUUCAUCGUCCCUC
Molecule: long non-coding RNA, 2065 nt
Organism: Eriocheir sinensis (Chinese mitten crab)
Lineage: Eukaryota; Metazoa; Arthropoda; Malacostraca; Decapoda; Varunidae
Exons: 3
Source: RefSeq, a predicted model, not a curated record